Molecule: transfer RNA, 71 nt
Filed under: Leptobrachium pullum (Vietnam spadefoot toad)
Lineage: Eukaryota; Metazoa; Chordata; Amphibia; Anura; Megophryidae
Description: tRNA-Val
Source: RNAcentral
ACAAAGUGUAGCUUAAUUAAAGCCUCUUGCUUACACCAAGACAAUGCCCAAUAAUCACGGGUCACUCUGAC